GACGUAGGGGGCAAGCGUUGUUCGGAAUUAUUGGGCGUAAAGCGCUCGUAGGCGGGACUGGAAGUCCGUGUUGAAAGACCUCGGCUCAACUGAGGGACCGGCUCGGAUACUCUAGUUCUUGAGGCAAUCAGAGGGUGAUGGAAUUCCCGGUGUAGCGGUGAAAUGCGUAGAUAUCAAGUGGAACACCAGUGGCGAAGGCGAGUCCCUGGACAACUCCUGACACUGAGGCACGAAAGCUAGGGGAGCAAACAGG
This 253-nucleotide ribosomal RNA is filed under the name uncultured bacterium. RNAcentral describes it as "partial 16S ribosomal RNA". It matches the Rfam family "Bacterial small subunit ribosomal RNA", at positions 524 to 776 of the family's 1533-position model. The record is from RNAcentral.